AACGAACGCUGGCGGCAUGCCUAACACAUGCAAGUCGAACGAUGCCUCCGGGCAUAGUGGCGCACGGGUGCGUAACGCGUGGGAAUCUGCCCUUGGGUUCGGAAUAGCUCGCCGAAAGGCGAGCUAAUACCGGAUGAUGACGUAAGUCCAAAGAUUUAUCGCCCAAGGAUGAGCCCGCGUAGGAUUAGCUAGUUGGUGGGGUAAAGGCCCACCAAGGCGACGAUCCUUAGCUGGUCUGAGAGUAUGAUCAGCCACACUGGGACUGAGACACGGCCCAGACUCCUACGGGAGGCAGCAGUGGGGAAUAUUGGACAAUGGGCGAAAGCCUGAUCCAGCAAUGCCGCGUGAGUGAUGAAGGCCUUAGGGUUGUAAAGCUCUUUUACCCGGGAUGAUAAUGACAGUACCGGGAGAAUAAGCUCCGGCUAACUCCGUG
RNAcentral lists this ribosomal RNA (433 nucleotides) under uncultured bacterium. RNAcentral describes it as "partial 16S ribosomal RNA". It matches the Rfam family "Bacterial small subunit ribosomal RNA", at positions 29 to 507 of the family's 1533-position model. The record is from RNAcentral.